This 427-nucleotide ribosomal RNA is filed under the name uncultured prokaryote. RNAcentral describes it as "bacterial SSU rRNA". It matches the Rfam family "Bacterial small subunit ribosomal RNA", at positions 355 to 774 of the family's 1533-position model. The record is from RNAcentral.
UGGGGAAUAUUGCACAAUGGGGGAAACCCUGAUGCAGCCAUGCCGCGUGUGUGAAGAAGGCCUUCGGGUUGUAAAGCACUUUCAGUGGGGAGGAAGGGGUGAUGCCUAAUACGCAUCAUCAUUGACGUUACCCACAGAAGAAGCACCGGCUAACUCCGUGCCAGCAGCCGCGGUAAUACGGAGGGUGCAAGCGUUAAUCGGAAUAACUGGGCGUAAAGCGCACGCAGGCGGUUAGAUAAGUCAGAUGUGAAAUCCCCGGGCUCAACCUGGGAACUGCAUUUGAAACUGUCUGACUAGAGUCUUGUAGAGGGGGGUAGAAUUCCAGGUGUAGCGGUGAAAUGCGUAGAGAUCUGGAGGAAUACCGGUGGCGAAGGCGGCCCCCUGGACAAAGACUGACGCUCAGGUGCGAAAGCGUGGGGAGCAAACA